Molecule: long non-coding RNA, 1458 nt
Organism: Patella vulgata (common limpet)
Lineage: Eukaryota; Metazoa; Mollusca; Gastropoda; Patellidae
Exons: 4
Source: RefSeq, a predicted model, not a curated record
CAAUUAUUACAAUUCUAACAUCAGAUGCUAACAACAACAUAACAGAUGAAGAUUCUAAUGUAACCUUCAGCUGUUCUGUUGACAGUCUUCCAUCUUCAGUAAUAUCCUGGUCUAGAUCACAAGGGGAACAACUCUAUUCUGGUAGUCAAUAUACCAUACCUAAAGCUAGUUGUCAACAUACAGAUAACUAUACCUGUACAGCUAGUAAUAAUAUUGGUCCACCUGUAUCUAAAACUAUUCCACUCUAUGUUAGAUGUUCUCCAAGAGAAAAUACAAUAACCAAGAGAAAUAUCACUAAUAGAAUAAAUACAAAAAUAUAUCUGGACGUUGAUAUAAUCGCCUACCCUCGACCAACCUUCACCUGGCACCAUGCACCUACAAGACAGAUAAUAAAUACAGCUAUAACACAACAACUAUCAACUAUAAACUAUAAAUCAACAGUAGAAAUAACUCUAAACUCUACUCUAUUUGGUGAUUAUAUAGUAUCUGUAGACAAUGGUAUUGGUGUUCAGAACUUCACUAUUACAGUUAUUGAUGGAGAAUCACCAACGUCAGUACCGGGUCCUGUCGAAAGUAAUAACACACCUACUAUAGUUGGAAGUAUUAUUGGUGUAUUGAUGGUUAUUGCUACUAUAAUAGUUGUUCUAGUUGUGGUAAUAUACCGUAGAAAGGCAUCAAAAGCUGAUGAUAAUACGUACGAUGGACUUGGAGUUAUCCCCCGUUCAACCAAUCAACCCGUUUAUGAUGAAAUGAAUUCCUCUACAACUAGAUCUAAUGAUACAACAGCACGUGAAGAUUCCUCACCAGCCUACUAUAAUACUACAAACGUGAACCACGGCGAUAUUACUAACACCGCAUACGUCAAUUCCCCGUCAUCGUCGUCGACAUAUGAAGGACUGGAUGUACGAAGUAAUGAAACACAUCCAAACCUUUAUCAACGACUCAAUACAUCACCAACACCUAACAUCUACGAAAACGAGGAUAUGUGAUCAGCUAUCAAAUUUGUUAAUGUUAGUGAUUGUAUGUACAACAUGACCAUUUACUCCGCUCUAUAGAUGUUAAGAAUGUUAUUUUAAUAACACGAACGUUUACUCCGCUCUCUAGAUGAUAAAAAUAUUAUUUUAAUAACAUGAACAUGUUUAGAAUGUUAUUUUAACAAUACCGCUUAGGGAUAUUCAGGAUCUCCAGAGCAAGCGUUUUCACCUCGCUAUAACUGUGGGUUACCAAUACAUCUAACGACAUGGUGUAUACUACGAUACUAUGAUAAUAUUUUUGUUGCUUUUGUCAGUCUUAUCUAAUCGUUUGUAUUUCAAAAUCUGUAACAUUCCAAACCACUGAAUCAAACUGCGAUUGCAGGAUAAAUUGUGUCAUUCCAGUGUAGUUCAACUCUGUACGAGUGUAUCAAUGUAUCAUUGUACAUAUCACUGAAUGGAACUGCUAUCACAGGAUCGGGUGUUU